UGGCUACCAACAGUUUAUGCCCUACCC
RNAcentral lists this non-coding RNA (27 nucleotides) under Mus musculus (house mouse). Lineage: Eukaryota; Metazoa; Chordata; Mammalia; Rodentia; Muridae. The record is from RNAcentral.